Molecule: ribosomal RNA, 301 nt
Filed under: uncultured bacterium
Lineage: Bacteria
Description: partial 16S ribosomal RNA
Rfam family: Bacterial small subunit ribosomal RNA
Source: RNAcentral
CAGCAGCCGCGGUAAUGCGAAGGGGGCUAGCGUUGUUCGGAUUUAUUGGGCGUAAAGCGCACGUAGGCGGACUUUUAAGUCAGGGGUGAAAUCCCGGGGCUCAACCCCGGAACUGCCUUUGAUACUGGGAGUCUUGAGUUCGAGAGAGGUGAGUGGAAUUGCGAGUGUAGAGGUGAAAUUCGUAGAUAUUCGCAGGAACACCAGUGGCGAAGGCAGCUCACUGGCUCGAUACUGACGCUGAGGUGCGAAAGCGUGGGGAGCAAACAGGAUUAGAUACCCCGGUAGUCCCUGUCUCUUAUAC